UGGGGAAUAUUGCACAAUGGGCGCAAGCCUGAUGUAGCCAUGCCGCGUGUAUGAAGAAGGCCUUCGGGUUGUAAAGUACUUUCAGCGGGGAGGAAGGGAGUAAAGUUAAUACCUUUGCUCAUUGACGUUACCCGCAGAAGAAGCACCGGCUAACUCCGUGCCAGCAGCCGCGGUAAUACGGAGGGUGCAAGCGUUAAUCGGAAUUACUGGGCGUAAAGCGCACGCAGGCGGUCUGUCAAGUCGGAUGUGAAAUCCCCGGGCUCAACCUGGGAACUGCAUUCGAAACUGGCAGGCUAGAGUCUUGUAGAGGGGGGUAGAAUUCCAGGUGUAGCGGUGAAAUGCGGAGAGAUCUGGAGGAAUACCGGUGGGGAAGGCGGCCCCCUGGACAAAGACUGACGCUCAGGUGCGAAAGCGUGGGGAGCAAACAGG
This 429-nucleotide ribosomal RNA is filed under the name Chloroflexota bacterium. RNAcentral describes it as "Chloroflexi bacterium partial 16S ribosomal RNA". It matches the Rfam family "Bacterial small subunit ribosomal RNA", at positions 355 to 776 of the family's 1533-position model. The record is from RNAcentral. Lineage: Bacteria; Bacillati; Chloroflexota.